UGUGCAGCAGUCGGGAAUAUUGGGCAAUGGGCGAAAGCCUGACCCAGCAACGCCGCGUGUGUGAUGAAGGCCUUCGGGUCGUAAAACACUUUUCUGAGGGAUGAGCAAGGACAGUACCUCAGGAAUAAGUCUCGGCUAACUACGUGCCAGCAGCCGCGGUAAAACGUAGGAGACGAGCGUUAUCCGGAUUUACUGGGCGUAAAGCGUGUGCAGGCGGUUCGGCAAGUUGGAUGUGAAAUCUCCCGGCUCAACUGGGAGGGGUCGUUCAAAACUACCGAACUUGAGGACAUCAGAGGAAGGUGGAAUUCCGGGUGUAGUGGUGAAAUGCGUAGAUAUCCGGAGGAACACCAGUGGCGAAGGCGGCCUUCUGGGAUGUUUCUGACGCUCAUACACGAAAGCUAGGGGAGCGAACGGGAUUAGAUACCCCGGU
Molecule: ribosomal RNA, 430 nt
Filed under: uncultured bacterium
Lineage: Bacteria
Description: bacterial SSU rRNA
Rfam family: Bacterial small subunit ribosomal RNA
Source: RNAcentral